This is a non-coding RNA of Mus musculus (house mouse), 347 nucleotides long. The record is from the annotation of a RefSeq genome assembly. NCBI's taxonomy places the organism in Eukaryota, Metazoa, Chordata, Mammalia, Rodentia, Muridae.
AUGGGCAUCCAGACCCUCUGUUGUGUGAUCUUUUAUGUUCUGAUAGCAAAUCACACAGAUGCUGGAGUUACCCAGACACCCAGACAUGAGGUGGCAGAGAAAGGACAAACAAUAAUCCUGAAGUGUGAGCCAGUUUCAGGCCACAAUGACCUUUUCUGGUACAGACAGACCAAGAUACAGGGACUAGAGUUGCUGAGCUACUUCCGCAGCAAGUCUCUUAUGGAAGAUGGUGGGGCUUUCAAGGAUCGAUUCAAAGCUGAGAUGCUAAAUUCAUCCUUCUCCACUCUGAAGAUUCAACCUACAGAACCCAAGGACUCAGCUGUGUAUCUGUGUGCCAGCAGUUUAGC